RNAcentral lists this ribosomal RNA (455 nucleotides) under uncultured bacterium. RNAcentral's name for it is "bacterial SSU rRNA". It matches the Rfam family "Bacterial small subunit ribosomal RNA", at positions 340 to 786 of the family's 1533-position model. The record is from RNAcentral.
UACGGAAGGCAGCAGUGGGGAAUAUUGCACAAUGGGCGAAAGCCUGAUGCAGCUAUGCCGCGUGUAUGAAGAAGGCCUUAGGGUUGUAAAGUACUUUCAUCGGGGAGGAAAAACAAAACUAAUAAUUUUAUUUCUUGACGUUACCCGAAAAAGAAGCACCGGCUAACUCCGUGCCAGCAGCCGCGGUAAUACGGAGGGUGCUAGCGUUAAUCAGAAUUACUGGGCGUAAAGAGCACGUAGGUGGUUUUUUAAGUCAGAUGUGAAAUCCCUGGGCUUAACCUAGGAACUGCAUUUUGAAACUGAAAUACUAGAGUAUCGUAGAGGGAGGUAGAAUUCUAGGUGUAGCGGUGAAAUGCGUAGAUAUCUGGAGGAAUACCUGUGGCGAAAGCGGCCUCCUAAACGAAUACUGACACUGAGGUGCGAAAAGCGUGGGGAGCAAACAGGGAUUAGAUACC